ACACAAAAGAAAUGCAGUCAGACGUUUGUUAUCCAAGUUGAGUCAAAGACAUUGAAUUAAUUCAGCUAACCAUGGUUUCAAUUAAUUAAUGAGAUUCCCAGGCUACUGAAUACGUUGGGGACCAUGAGUUUGUUUUGGGCAAACAAGGUUUUUGAAUGAUUGGACCUCUGACUACAGGUAAGCAAAACAACAUGUGAGAAGAUCCUCUGCAAAAAGCCAGAAGACUAAAAAUUGGGACUUGAAAUUAAAAAUUUCUCUGGAAGUAUUUCUGAGACUCAGUCAGCCAAAACCAGCCUGGAGGCAGUCAAAAAGAGUAGUGCUAUCCCUCUGGGUAGACUCCAUCCUGAAUGUACCAGCACGACUGAGUAUUUCCACAGAGAUCCUGAUAUCCUGUAAAGAAUCUUCCACUUUUCCUUUUUUUUAGUGCAGUUUAUUCCUCUCACUGGACUGGUUUUUUCCCCACAAAUAACUCUUAAUUGUUUGUUUUCCCUGCAAACAGUGAAGAGAGAGAGCCAUAUUGCACCAUAAAAGUAACGUCGUGUGGGUUCUCAUCUCAUCAGCUCUCCAUGACUGCUGAGUCACGCGUGGGUAGUUUUCAAGUGCUACUACAGCAUUAGAAGACAUUUCAUGGAAGUCCUGGUGAUUUAUUGGAAAGAGUUCUUAAAAGAGUCUAAAUUUAGACUCUGAGCAGCAGAUAUGGCUUCAUGUGACAUAUCAAGUCCCACAUUUGGAAGAGAGAUUUGCAUUGAGGAAGUGGCCUAAAGAGCUUUUAGAAAAAUCCUGGGUGCUUUGUUUCCGUCCUCUGAGAAGCUUUAGCUACAGGAGAAAUCAUCUGUCACGUCUACCUGCUGACAUCUCUUCUACCUUCUUGACUGCAUCCCCCCGUCCUGAUGUUUCCAGACGACAUACUUUUCAGCGGUAAUGUAUCAGCCCAGCUAGAACAACAUAUAUGGGAGCUGGCUGGUAUGAUUUAUCUUUAACCUGUCAAGUUUCACUUCUCUGUGUCAUCACCUCAUGUUCCACCACCAACACAUCCACAUGUUGUACGUUUGUACAUCAUUGGGCACGCACAACUCUAUCGUGACCAAAAAGUGGAGUGCUGUUGCAGUCCCAUAUAAUAUGGAAGGGCUUGA
Molecule: long non-coding RNA, 1133 nt
Organism: Falco peregrinus (peregrine falcon)
Lineage: Eukaryota; Metazoa; Chordata; Aves; Falconiformes; Falconidae
Exons: 3
Source: RefSeq, a predicted model, not a curated record